This 5897-nucleotide long non-coding RNA is filed under the name Zea mays. Its description in RNAcentral is "long non-coding RNA (ZMAY_LNC002552)". Lineage: Eukaryota; Viridiplantae; Streptophyta; Magnoliopsida; Poales; Poaceae. The record is from RNAcentral.
GUGGACUUGUCGGUGCCGGUAAAAUAUUCUUUGCUUCAUUUCGUCUUUUUCCAGCUUGGUGGUAGGUGAGGGAAAAAAUGAGACUGGCCAUGUUUGGGACUUGGGAGAUAGGUUCAGUUCCAAAAAAAAUUUAGUAAAGUUAUAAAAUAAGUUAUUAGGUGUUUUAGAAAAUCGUGAAGAUGAAACAAUAAACUUUGCGAAAACAUUUAUAUAAGUUAUUUUGUUUAUUAUUUAAAUUAAAAAUAUUUUUAAAACUAUUAUAUCUUUCAAAACACCCCCUAGUGUAAGGAAAGCUACAUGGAUCUGGGCAGUUUGAAACUUCGAAUGGAAUACUUCCACAUGCUAUGAGUAGUUGACUGCUUACUGAUUUUCAUUUGUAGUAUAUGGUUGUUUCGUUGAUGACACGUCCAUGAUCUAGGUUUUUUUUUUCGUUAAGUAGGAUAAAAGCGGAAAGAGAAACUCCGAAGAUGCAACUCAUAUGUUUGCUGGGCCUGGGCAGUGGUAAAAAAACGUGUUCCAGAUCUGAAGGCGCCCAUGCAUGUUCCGAUGACCGUGCCGGACGCUGUGCUGCCCCUGCCCGUGCACGAGCAGCUCGUGCGACGUGAACACGCGGGCUUACCUAACGUUUCAGCGGCGACGACGUGACGGUCGCGAACCCACGUUCAGUGGCCAUCUCUAUCCACCGCGAACCCACGUACAGUGGCCACGUUGAGCGUGCCGCGAGCGUAGCCAGUGUUCCUGCCACGUUUUUUUAAAAAAAUUGGUAGGCCGCGCUGGCGAUCAGCGACCCGGCCAACUAUAUGCUGGUAUGGUCGGUGGGACAGGAGUGGCCCGCCCGUACGGUGGUAGUGGCACAAGUUUGGGUGUACGCGUGCACCCAAGUUUGGUAGUGGCACCCAUCAUAUUUAACUAUUUGUUUUAUCCAAUCCUUAAACAAUAAAGUGAAGAAAUUAUUAUUAAAAUACUAUUGUUAAUAAAACCAAUAUAAUGUUUAUAUAAAUUUUUUUGAAUGAAACAAACCGACAAGUAAGACAGCUAAAAGUUUAAAAGGGAGAGAGAGUACAUGAUAGUGUAUAGGAUUGGUAGCGGAGUAUACUACUACUGUACUCGUAAAGGUUGUAGGCACGAAUGAUGUGAACUAUCUAUCUAUGGGAUAAAAAGUUUGAGGUAGUUUAACGUUUAUGCCAACCCACCAACGACCUAGCUAGCUACUAGCACAACUAACUACAACACCCCGAAAAAAAAAGGAAAUACUGUAUUUCUUGUUUCAGUAACUGAUGGGAUCCCGUGAACAGCUAGCACAUGCAGCUGGCCAAGUCAGAACUGAAGAACUAGCACAUGCAACUAGCACAUGGCUACUAGCACAUGCAGGCGCAGCUGGCGCGACGCUGCGCCUGCGGUGCAGCAGGACCUCGUGAAUAAACCGCUAACACUGUUUGAUAGGAGCAUCUAAUCUAACUGCGGAAACUAACAAUCCAAACUGAACACGGCUGAGUCAGAACUGAAGAGUGGUCUGACCUGAUGAGCUCCCUCUGGAGCGCGCCGCCUUCCUUGGUGCGGCGGUGGGAGGUAGCGCCGAAGCCGGUGGUGACGCCGUAGCUGUCGGUGCCGUUCAUCAUGCUGCCCAUGACCCAGUCGCUGCUGGCCCUGACGCGCUCGCGAGCGGACUCGUCCAGCUCCACGCGGGCCUCGCCGCCCCCGGCGCCCACGGCCACGGCGGCCACCUGCGCGACGCUCAGGCUGGCGCCCUGGAUCUUCACCAGCGGGUCGCGGAACUCCGCCACCAUCCGCUUCACCUCGUCCAGGUGGCUCCCGGACAGGCCCUCCGCGGCCUUGCCCCAGUUCAGCGGGUCGGCGCGCGGCGCCGGCAUGCACAGGCCCUCGCCGUUCAGGGAGGAGCGGACAAGCAGGCCGGCCUCGGACUCCAUUGCGGACGGGGACACGUGCGUGCGCAGAUGAGCGCGCGCGGACGGAAGUAGAAACUAGCUAGCUAGCUGGGGGAAAUUAAAAGCUACUACACAAGAGUAGUACUGCUGGUAACUAACUACUAAUGUGGCAGUGCUGUAGACGAAGAGCUGGGGAAAGGUAGGCUCUUCGUCCUGAGGAGAACGGUGCGGGGGAGGGCGGGCUUAAUAAAUAGCGUGGCCACGGGUGGGAGGGGGAGGUUGUUGGGGUCAGAUCAGAGACUGGCAUGGCACCGGGGUAGGUUGUUGGCGGGCCGAGCUGACUCCGCGACGACGCCUCCCUGUCCCUUGGAUGGGCCGGCCAACCUUCUGCCGCCGGCGCUGGCAGCUUGGCCCGCGCGCAGCCGGUCGUCGCAUGGCCGCCUGCCUGGGAAUACGACACUCGACAUUGACCCGGCGCCGGCCCGUCUGCUCGACGGGGCUCUGGGUAGUCUGGUUGCCGCCGGACGACGGGCGCACGGCACCGCACCAGACGCGGUUGCGCCCGGAGGUGGGCUGGUGGUGGGUGGCCACUGAGUGCGACGGGCUUGGUGGGGGGAGCCCGUGUGUGUCUGGACUGGACGCGAGCUAUUGCCCAAGUAUUAGGUCUCGGUCAGUCGGGUGUCGAGUUGGUCCGGUCCGUUGCCCCGGACCUUACAGGCUUACACACGCAACCACUGGGAGAUUGCAGAUGCUGCAAGUAUGUCACUAGAAAUGGCACGAAAUGACGAGUCCACUUCGUUACGUUAGCACUCACGACUCCCUCUCAGCUGUGGCCUCUAGCUCUAGGGCAUCAAGCAAGUACACAUCAACCGUCCAGAAACUGCGCGCUUGUUUUGCUUUGGUUGCAAUUUCUGCCCGACUCUGAUAACCGGCCGAUUGGAGUAAACAGGGGGAAAAAAUGGAGAAUCAAGUACUCGACUCAAGUAUCGCGAGGUCAAGUUGCCCCCAUAUAAUUCUGCACCAGCAGGAGAACGUCCAAGGAAAGAAAGGCGCUCCAGAUCUGGCGCAGCAUGCAAUCUGUUAACUACUACUUCACCAGCAGCACUAGUCCCCCAUGAAGCACUUCGUUGUGUGAACCAACUCAACCAAGUCAUUCACUGGAAAUGUUGUGGCAAACACUCAUUGUUGUUCCCAAGUUCAGAGAACCGUGUCGUGCAUGAAAUAUUCCACGAUUCAACAUUUUGGACCAAGGAGGAAUUGUAUUUCUUCCUAGAAAGAAAAAAAAAACCAAAGGCGUAAAAUAUUGUUGAAAGCGGCGGUCUAGUAUUAUUUACUUAUUUGUUUGUUUGUUUGUACCAGCACUAUUAUCACUGUAGAUGGCCAACUGGCCGGCCCGACACGACCCGGCACGGGCCCGGGGAAGCACGGCCCAUCAGCCAACGGGCCGGCCCGGGUAUACGGGCUGAACGGGCCGUGCCUAGAGAGCCCACGUGCCUGGCCGUUGGCCCAGGCACGGCCCUCUGGGCCACUUUUUGUGUCGGACCAGCCCGCUAGGCACGCUCAAAAAAACGGGUCGUGCCAGUGCCAGCCCGCUAAUGUUCCCAAACAGCAGAAAAUAUAGAUAAAUUUAACCAAAGUUAAAAAACAGCAGAAAAUAUAGACAAAUAUAAUAAAUGAGUUGUUUUGUGCAAUGCUGCCUCAUUAAAAACCUUUCUAGGUAAAACUCACCCUUGUGAGAAACCCUAGAAAGGAAAAAAGAGUGCAGCCAGCUCAAAGUUUAAUCACUAAGUUUGUAUGUGUUACAAAUGUAUAUUACAAUACAAAAUGACUAUCUCACAAUCACUCAAUGACAAAGGCACAAAGCAGUGAAAGCACAGAUCAGAUGACCACAUCACAGUCUAGAAGUCUAGAACUAAGUAGUAAAUACCAAAAGACACUAAGCAGCAACAUGUUCAUCUUCAUCAAGAAAUAAGUUCUGGAAUGAGUCCUCAAGCUCUGGAUUGUCAACAGCAUGUUGUUCUCUCUUUUCUCCUAAUUCCCAAUCUUUUAAGCAAGUCAGCAUCUCCACAUUCUCAGGCAAUAAGCGUCGUCGUCGCUCCUCAAUUAUCCUCCCUGUCAAACUGAAACAAUACUCCAAAGAGACAGUAGAUACAGGAACAGACAUAAUAUCCCUAGCCAUUAUGGAUAAAACUGGAUAUGUUAGCUUGUGGUCACGCCACCAGAGAAGUACAUCAAAAUCAUCCUCAUAAGAAGUGACAUUGUCACUGUCUAAGUAGGCUGAGAGCUCACAAAUAGCAGAUGAAGAUGAAGCAGAAGGGGUAGAGCUAGGGGGAGGACCAACAACACCUGAACUGGAAUCUCCAAAUAUUCUUUCCCAAGCUUGUUUUCUUUUACCUGUAUGAAUAGAAGGCUGAGCAGCCCUUUGAGCCCUAACUGCACCAAACUUAGUCUCAUAUUUAGUAAACAGUUUAUACAAUUCAUUUUUGACAUCAGCAUAAUAUGUACUGUACUCACACCCAGUGCACUCUCCAAGUAAAUGCAACACAUUAAAAAAACCUCUCAUCUUAGCUCUAGGGUCCAGAAUGAAUGCAUAUGAAUAUAGCAAAGGUAUGUCACUCCAGUAUUUAAGGAAUUUAAGUUGCAUUGGAAACACAAUAGUUCUAAGAUUUAAAUCUCUUUCACAUGCUUUCAAAUGUGAUGCAAUUUCCAGAAUAUGGUGAAGAACUAGUGGACUAGUUGGAUAAUAAACACCAGACAGAACAACAGUAGAGUCAUAGUACAGUUCUAGAAACUCUAAAAUCUUCUCAGCAACAUACCAAUGAUUAGGAGGCAACAAUUGUGACUCAUAAUGUGAAUUGAUGAAGACAGAAAAAACAGUUUUGUAUGGGACCAAGUGUUUAAGCAUCAAAUAAGUAGAAUUCCAUCUAACAUCCAUAUCCAAGCCAAAUUUUCUGGGUCUAACACCCCUUGCUAAGCAGUACUUGUCGGCGUUUCGAGACCGGGGGGGUCCCUAAGCCGACGAGUGAGUGUGCCGCGUGCCCCAGCCCAGAUGGGUCGAGCGCGUGGGCGAGCGCGAAGGGGGGAAGCGAGGUGGCCGGAGACGGGCGUGAGAGAGGUGGAAAUCCCGCGGCCUUCGUGUUCGUCCCGCGCCCAGGUCGGGUGCGCUUGCAGUAGGGGGUUACAAGCGUCCACGCGGGUGAGGGAAGCGAGCGGCCCCAAGAGAGCGCCUGUCCCGUCCUCGUCCCCGCGCGGCCAACCUUCUCUAAGAAGGCCCUGGUCCUUCCUUUAUAGGCGUAAGGAGAGGAUCCAGGUGUACAAUGGGGGUGUAGCAGAGUGCUACGUGUCUAGCGGGGGAGAGCUAGCGCCCUAAGUACAUGCCAAUGUGGCAGCCGGAGAGAUCUUGGCACCCUGCUGGUGUGAUGUCGUGGCUGUCGGAGGAGCAACGGAGCCUGGCGGAGGGACAGCUGUCGGAGCGGUUGAGUCCUUGCUGACGUCCCCCUGCUUCCGUAAGGGAGCUGAGAGCCACCGUCGUCACAGGGCUAGCGGGGCGCCAUCAUUGCCUAUCUGGCGGAGCUAGCCAGAUGGGACACCAGUCUUGUUCUCUGCGGCCCGAGUCGGCUCGGGGUAGGUGAUGAUUGGCGCNNNNNNNNNNNNNNNNNNNNNNNNNNNNNNNNNNNNNNNNNNNNNNNNNNNNNNNNNNNNNNNNNNNNNNNNNNNNNNNNNNNNNNNNNNNNNNNNNNNNUGACACGUCCAUGAUCUAGGUUUUUUUUUUCGUUAAGUAGGAUAAAAGCGGAAAGAGAAACUCCGAAGAUGCAACUCAUAUGUUUGCUGGGCCUGGGCAGUGGUAAAAAAACGUGUUCCAGAUCUGAAGGCGCCCAUGCAUGUUCCGAUGACCGUGCCGGACGCUGUGCUGCCCCUGCCCGUGCACGAGCAGCUCGUGCGACGUGAACACGCGGGCUUACCUAACGUUUCAGCGGCGACGACGUGACGGUCGCGAACCCACGUUCAGUG